Molecule: ribosomal RNA, 253 nt
Filed under: uncultured bacterium
Lineage: Bacteria
Description: partial 16S ribosomal RNA
Rfam family: Bacterial small subunit ribosomal RNA
Source: RNAcentral
UACGGAGGGUGCAAGCGUUGUUCGGAAUUAUUGGGCGUAAAGAGCUCGUAGGCGGUUUGUCGCGUCUGCUGUGAAAUCCCGAGGCUCAACCUCGGGUCUGCAGUGGGUACGGGCAGACUGGAGUGCGGUAGGGGAGAAUGGAAUUCCUGGUGUAGCGGUGAAAUGCGCAGAUAUCAGGAAGAACACCCGUGGCGAAGGCGGCUCUCUGGGACGGUACUGACGCUGAGACGCGAAAGCGUGGGGAGCGAACAGG